RNAcentral lists this ribosomal RNA (440 nucleotides) under uncultured bacterium. RNAcentral describes it as "partial 16S ribosomal RNA". It matches the Rfam family "Bacterial small subunit ribosomal RNA", at positions 338 to 795 of the family's 1533-position model. The record is from RNAcentral.
CCUACGGGGCGCAGCAGUGGGGAAUAUUGCACAAUGGGGGAAACCCUGAUGCAGCGACGCCGCGUGAAGGACGAAGUAUUUCGGUACGUAAACUUCUAUCAGCAGGGAAGAAAAUGACGGUACCUGAACAAGAAGCCCCGGCUAACUACGUGCCAGCAGCCGCGGGAAUACGUAGGGGGCAAGAGUUAUCCGGAUUUACGGGGUGUAAAGGGAGCGUAGACGGCCAUGCGAGUCUGAUGUGAAAACCCGGGGCUUAACCCCGGGAUUGCAUUGGAAACUGUGCGGCUGGAGUGUUGGAGAGGCGAGUGGAAUUCCUAGUGUAGCGGUGAAAUGCGUAGAGAUUAGGAGGAACACCAGUGGCGAAGGCGGCUUGCUGGACGACGACUGACGUUGAGGCUCGAAAGCGUGGGGAGCAAACAGGAUUAGAUACCCUAGUAGUC